This 253-nucleotide ribosomal RNA is filed under the name uncultured bacterium. RNAcentral describes it as "partial 16S ribosomal RNA". It matches the Rfam family "Bacterial small subunit ribosomal RNA", at positions 524 to 776 of the family's 1533-position model. The record is from RNAcentral.
UACGAAGGGGGCUAGCGUUGCUCGGAAUCACUGGGCGUAAAGCGCACGUAGGCGGCUUGUCAAGUCAGGGGUGAAAUCCUGGAGCUCAACUCCAGAACUGCCUUUGAUACUGGCGAGCUUGAGUCCGGGAGAGGUGAGUGGAACUGCGAGUGUAGAGGUGAAAUUCGUAGAUAUUCGGAGGAACACCAGUGGCGAAGGCGGCUCACUGGUCCAUUACUGACGCUGAGGUGCGAAAGCGUGGGGAGCAAACAGG